RNAcentral lists this ribosomal RNA (525 nucleotides) under Pichia norvegensis. RNAcentral's name for it is "eukaryotic LSU rRNA". It matches the Rfam family "Eukaryotic large subunit ribosomal RNA", at positions 85 to 634 of the family's 3401-position model. Lineage: Eukaryota; Fungi; Ascomycota; Pichiomycetes; Pichiales; Pichiaceae. The record is from RNAcentral.
AGCGGCGAGUGAAGCGGCAAGAGCUCAGAUUUGAAAUCGCAGCGGCAACGCGGCGAGUUGUAGAUUGCAGGUGGGAGAGUUUGCGGGCGGCGGGCGUCGAAGUCCCUUGGAACAGGGCGCCACUGAGGGUGAGAGCCCCGUGCGAUGCCUGCCCAUGCUUUGAACUCCCCUCUGACGAGUCGAGUUGUUUGGGAAUGCAGCUCUAAGCGGGUGGUAAAUUCCAUCUAAGGCUAAAUACUGGCGAGAGACCGAUAGCGAACAAGUACUGUGAAGGAAAGAUGAAAAGCACUUUGAAAAGAGAGUGAAACAGCACGUGAAAUUGUUGAAAGGGAAGGGUAUUGGGCCCGACAUGGGAAUCGCGCACCGCUGCUCCUCGUGGGCGGCGCUCUGCGCUUUUCCUGGGCCAGCAUCGGUUUCCGCUGCAGGAGAAGGGGCUGUGGAAUGUGGCUGGCACGCUUGCGCGCCAGUGUUAUAGCCACGGGCCAGAUGCUGCGUGUGGGGACCGAGGGCUGCGACGGCAACGUC